AAGGGAGACCUAAUUCCGGUAGGAGACGAAAAAAAAGUAGUCCCAACCAGGAAUCAAUCCCAAAAGGUCGGAACGAGGUAUGAGGCUUUCAAACUAGGUUCUGGGUUCAUAAAAGACCUGAAUCAGGAACAAGGGCUAUUAGCUCAGGUGGUUAGAGCGCACCCCUGAUAAGGGUGAGGUCCCUGGUUCGAGUCCAGGAUGGCCCACCUGCACAGGUGGCAAAAACAAGAGAAGCUCCGAAUCAGCACCUUAUCUUAUAUACAUAUAUAAGAGAGAAUGCUGGCUCUGAGUAAAGAGUCCAGAGGAACCUUGAAAACUGCAUAGAGCUAGGUGAAAAAGCCAAAAAAGAAGACCGCAA
This 358-nucleotide transfer RNA is filed under the name uncultured Microcystis sp. Its description in RNAcentral is "partial 16S-23S ribosomal RNA intergenic spacer". The stretch from base 133 to 206 matches the Rfam family "tRNA". The record is from RNAcentral. Lineage: Bacteria; Bacillati; Cyanobacteriota; Cyanophyceae; Chroococcales; Microcystaceae.